RNAcentral lists this long non-coding RNA (544 nucleotides) under Cucumis sativus (cucumber). Its description in RNAcentral is "long non-coding RNA (CSAT_LNC002296)". The record is from RNAcentral. Lineage: Eukaryota; Viridiplantae; Streptophyta; Magnoliopsida; Cucurbitales; Cucurbitaceae.
GUUUGGCUUGGUACCUUCGAUUCCGCUGAAGAGGCUGCUCGGGCUUAUGAUAAUGCCGCUCGAACCCUUCGGGGUGCCAAGGCCAAAACUAACUUUCCUUUACAUCCAUCCACGAUUUCCAUUCAACAACAAAUUCCUUUUUACCAAUCUCCGCCGGAUUUGCACGAUUCGAAUGGUUUUGGUGCUAAGAUUGAGUGCGUUCAGGCUAAUAGGCCUACGUCUAGCAGUUUGAGUUCUACCGUGGAAUCGUUUAGUGGGCCGCGGAUUUCUAACCCUUUGUCGUCCCUGUCUAUGGUUCGUCGGAGGCCGGUUCAGCCAGUUUCGCCAGAUGAUUGUCAUAGCGACUGUGAUUCGUCUUCCUCGGUUGUUGAUGAUGAUGAGGUCUGUGUUCUUGCUUCUUUCCGUAGAGCUUUGCCCUUUGAUCUUAACUUACCACCUCCGAUGGACGUCGUGGAUUUAACCGGUGAUGAUCUUCAAGCUACUGCUUUAUGCCUCUGAUGAGUGAUGCCAUGUUUGCUUUAUAUCAUCAUGGUUUGAAAUGGUC